CGUCGUCCUCGACGGACACCAAACUUGUUGGAUGAUCGCCAGCCGCGAAAAAAAUCGAUCAACAUAGGGGCUUUGACGGGGAGGGAUCUACGGGAAAGCAUUCGUUAAGCCUGUUUCUCGGCACUUCAAGCGGUAAGCCGUAAUUAACGCCACGAGGGGUGUCUACUCACCGGAAGUAAUACGGACUGAGCAUCAAGCGGCCAUAGCGGUUUUUCCGGUUUUGGUCUGGAUGCACGGUAGGCCGCAAUGCCGGUGACUACGAGGACUCCAGCUGCACCGCCUAAAUAAGACUUUUUCGCGCGUUUAUUCUUCAACCAGGCUGUAAAGCGGACAGAUCGGUAAUGUUAUGAAAGACAGUUAUGCUCUACAUCUUUCAAGUUUCCUUCAAAAAAUUUCGUCUACAGUAAAAACAACUGAUCGGGCUAAAGAAGAUAUUGUUUUGCGAAAUAGAAGAGGUAAGCGUAGAAUUCGAUCUCUGUGGUUUCGACAGAUGAUACGCGAAAUGUAUAAAAGCGAAACACAAAAUUUCAAUUCAGCAUUCCAUUCGAUUGCGUAUGCAUGUAAAUUAAAAGUUUCGGAUAGAAAUACGUUAAAAUAAUUCUUGUUAUUUUCAGUAAUAGAGAAGGCUAUUAACGUUUGUUUAAUUACGUACAAAUUAAUUUUCAAAUAUAUUAAUUCUGUAUUACCUUUCAACAUCUUUGUCCGAGAUUAGGUUGUAUUUCAAAACUUAAAUAUUUUUUCUCCGAUUAUUUGAUUGAUUUUUAACUGUUUUCACUCUAAUU
Molecule: long non-coding RNA, 782 nt
Organism: Colletes gigas
Lineage: Eukaryota; Metazoa; Arthropoda; Insecta; Hymenoptera; Colletidae
Exons: 3
Source: RefSeq, a predicted model, not a curated record